Molecule: ribosomal RNA, 253 nt
Filed under: uncultured prokaryote
Description: partial 16S ribosomal RNA
Rfam family: Bacterial small subunit ribosomal RNA
Source: RNAcentral
ACGUAGGGUGCGAGCGUUAAUCGGAAUUACUGGGCGUAAAGCGUGCGCAGGCGGUUUGUUAAGACAGGUGUGAAAUCCCCGGGCUUAACCUGGGAAUGGCGCUUGUAACUGGCAAGCUAGAGUGUGUCAGAGGGAGGUAGAAUUCCACGUGUAGCAGUGAAAUGCGUAGAGAUGUGGAGGAAUACCGAUGGCGAAGGCAGCCUCCUGGGAUAACACUGACGCUCAUGCACGAAAGCGUGGGGAACAAACAGGA